AAACGAGAGAGAGUAGGAGUGGUGAAGGAAGGUACUCCCGUCAAGUUACCCGGAGGGACUCGAAGCUCCACAAACCGGCUGCAAGAGUAAAUGUGAGACCUGACUUCUGAGUAUUACAUGGACAAUCAGAUGGACUCAUCAGAGCACGCAUCAGCUGCCUCCUGUCAACACAUUUAACCUGACCCCGGGGUCAGGAUGAGGUAGAACGUCUGAGCGGGAUACACGCAGGUUCCUCGACUGGAUUCAGUGCACCGUCUAUGUACAGAGUGACGACCAAGAGUGACCAUGUGCUCGUGGACAACUUGCCUACUCCUCCCCCAGCCAGUGCGCCGCGCCUACCAGCGUCUUCAUUUCUGCGCUUGUAAACCUUUACCUUUGAACACAGGGUCAGGACGUGAGGGGAGGGGGAUCCCCGGCCAGCCAUACAACAAGUUGGCCUUGGCUGAUGGUCCGCUGCCAUUUGGAUUAGAGUAGCUAUUGCCGAGAAACAAGAACGGCCAGCAGCAAAAACAAUUAUCGUGCCGGACGGGUGGAAAAAAAUAACGGAAAGGAUCCUCAAAAUACACGAUUGUCAGCGUGGACUGUGUUAUUAGUGAAUGAGUAGUGAACAAUGCCCACACUGACAAUGCUUCUCUGGUUAUGCUUCUAUUUCUUAUCCUGCGAGUUGCGGAGGAGAGGAGUACAAACAAUAUAGUGGGUGACCUACAAGCACUCAUUGGCCUCCCAGGACCUGCAGUGGAGCCAGGAACACUCCCAUUCUGGCGGCAUUCAUAGGUGUCACCUGUGCCACUCAUUGCUGGAAGAUUGCAUCACUGCGUACUGCUAAAGUCCGCGCAUGUGUGUGUGUGUGUGUGUGACGGGCUGAUAAGUUGAGUGAGAACAGUCAGUGAAAGCAGGUGGCGCUGGGGAGGAAGGACGGACGGCUGGGUGGAGUGUUUUGUUUCGCACUGAUCCGUCUUGCCACACACACACACUAGUGACCAGUGUAUCUAUAGUUCCGGCAGCUUCUUCCUGCACCAAGCAGCACCACAGAGGCACAACAACUUAAGGUCAGCUGGUCGUCCACCGUGACUCCGAGAAGCUUGGCACAUCGGACCACCUGGAGGGGGUGAGGGCCCACUGUGAGCUGGGGAGGGGGCACUGGUACAGAGGAGGUACAGAAAUGCAUCACCACAGUUUUGCUGUGGUUGAUGUUCAUCCUGCUCUCCUCCGUCCACGUCUGCAGUCGCUCCAGAAUUGCUUGCAGUGGCGAGUAGUCCAGGUUCUUGGUGGAAACUGGGAUGCCCACAGUGCAGUCAUCCACAUACUUCCAGCGAUGGGGGAGGAGAGGAGUACAACACAAUGGAUGACUUGCUAGCACUCAUUGGCCUCCCAGGACCUGCAGUGGAACAAGGAACAGUUCCAUUCUGGCGACAUUCAUAGUUGUCACCAGUGCCACUCAUUGCUGGAAGAUUACAUCACUGUGUGCUGCUAAAGGUGAACAGAGGGAAAGUCUCUCUCAUUGCUGGAAAAUUACAUCACAGUGUGCUGCUAAAGAAAGGACAUAUGUAGCUGGUCAUUGUGUCUCCAGAACCUACAGCUGACUAGUUGCCUCAUAAGGACUCUCAGCGGACCAAACUAAGAAGACUCGUAGCUGGUCCCUCUCGUGUAGUUCUGCAUAGCUGGUCCCUCUUGUGUAGUUCUGCAAAUUGAAAGUAAAGUUACUUUUACUUCAUAAAA
Molecule: RNA transcript, 1719 nt
Organism: Scylla paramamosain (green mud crab)
Lineage: Eukaryota; Metazoa; Arthropoda; Malacostraca; Decapoda; Portunidae
Exons: 8
Source: RefSeq, a predicted model, not a curated record